AACGAACGCUGGCGGCAGGCCUAACACAUGCAAGUUGAACGCCCGUAGCAAUACGGGAGUGGCAGACGGGUGAGUAACGCGUGGGAACGUGCCCUUCGGUUUGGAAUAACUCAGGGAAACUUGAGCUAAUACCAAAUACGUCCGUAAGGAGAAAGAUUUAUCGCCGAAGGAUCGGCCCGCGUCGGAUUAGCUAGUUGGUGAGGUAACGGCCCACCAAGGCGACGAUCCGUAGCUGGUCUGAGAGGAUGAUCAGCCACACUGGGACUGAGACACGG
This 275-nucleotide ribosomal RNA is filed under the name uncultured bacterium. Its description in RNAcentral is "partial 16S ribosomal RNA". It matches the Rfam family "Bacterial small subunit ribosomal RNA", at positions 29 to 329 of the family's 1533-position model. The record is from RNAcentral.